UGUUGCUUGAAGCCAUGGGAGUAUAGCCGGUGAUGGAUCGGGACUAGGCUUGGGGGAAGUUGAGGUCCAGAUGGUCAAGGAUAUCAUGCGGGAUGGAUAGGCUAGAGAAUAAUGCACGUGGUGGUGAAGGUUUCCAUAUGGAAUACACAUGGUGUUGUGUGCGCAUGGAAAGCGAAGUCAAAUUUGGAUUGGAGUUCAAGUCUGGAAAGUUUGGAGUUUGUUUUUUGUACGGGAAGGUUUCCUAGGGGAUUAGGACUUUUUGUAUGAGUUGGAUUUGUGGCUAGGGGCAACCAUGUUAUGGGUAUAAAUAGAGAGGGAGCAUGUGGUCUCCCUGUAUCGGAUUUAGAGAGAGUUGAGUUAAGAGAAAAGUUAGUGUUUCGAGUUUAGUCGAGAUGUUGAUCCUGACGGUUUAACCGGAAGCGAGUUGGCGGUCACAUCGGCGGCAGGGAGGUGGUCCAACCAGUGACAAGACGGUGGUCAGACCGGCGGUGUGCAGGCAGUCCAACUAGUGGCGGCACUGCGGUUAGACCGGAGUUGAUCUAACGGUCAGAUUGGCUACGUCGAGAUCUCCAUCGACUUCAAGGGUAACUUUGAAUUCCGCUAAAAGUUUUGAUUUUUGGUAGUACAAUCAUUCACCCCUCCUCUAGUUGGCUUGGUUUUUACUAUUCGAUCCUACACUAAUUGCAUAGCAGCUAGCACUGCAAAUCGAAAUGGUAUCAUACUAUAAUUUUCAGCAGUAAAAGUGAGGUUAUGGACAUGGCUUGGUAAGGAUUCUGGAUGCCUGAAAAGGCUGCUAUUACUGUAGUUUAUUCAUGUAUAGGUAGGCUUCCACAGUUCUAUAGUUGAUUCACCAACUAUGGCUGGCCCAUCUCUUCCAUUCACUAGAACAGCAGGCACAAUCACUUGUUACCAUGUCAAGAUGAUUUCUCGUGUGGUGACUUAUUUUGCCUUCUGGACUGCAAAGCUGUUGUGUUGCAGUUAAUUAAGCCAGAGAGGUUACACUGCAUCACGACUGCUCCUGAACACCAUGACUCGUAUGAACUUGGAUGAUUUGCCAAUUCGUAAUAUGCUCAUUUUCUUCCUUUUGUCUCCCAAUCCUAUUUGUGUAGACAACAGGAACUUGUACAUAAAGCACAGAAGCUCUCGUAUGGGUAUGUAGGCCUCAUAUAUAGGGAAGUUCUUGAUUGACAACGGUCUGAAUUCAUGCGAUAGGUGGUGUAUGGAGCUUCAGCGUGCCUUCUGGUCUAGGAACGUGGUGAUCACAACGUUGUUGUUGCAGUGCUUGUCCCAGCCCUCUACAUUGUUUGCUUGGCAAUUCAUCCGAGCAAGCUGAAAAAUGUAAACCAGAGAGGUAUUUUUGCAUCUGUGGUUUGCGACUUCAAAGCUGAUACUUCAACACAAAUAAAUGGUUGACCAACUCAUAAUGCACACAUUUGCUUCACCAUGCCUCCCAAUCCUAACAUGGCUAUGCUACAUAAGAAGCACUAAAUCACUACUUAGUGGUACGUAUAUCUCAUAGAGAAGUUUUAUCUCCGGUUACUUGGCUUUGUCUCCCGUCUCGUUUUAUCUACUGUCAAAGAGGCGAACAAUUAAGUAUUGGUUGGCAUUUCUCAUUUUACAUACAAAUAAAACUUUUUAGGCCCAUGUUGGAGGAGCCCCAACAGGUUAAUUUUGGAGGACUGGCUGAUAUAUAUGGUUGGGAAGGGUCAAGAUUUCGGACGAUUCGUUCAGCCAAAUAGCCACCCAAUGUCAGGUUUCAGAGUUUGUUUUGUUACCGAAUGUCAAGUGUGACCCAACCACAUUCCUCGUCGUUACGCCUAGAUACCUACCGUGUUGACUUUGAAAUCGAUCGACUAAUAAUGCCUACCUGGCCAACGUUUAUCUUCUUCCUAUGCCGUACUAGCUCCCACUGUCCCCAUAAAGAUUUCAUUUUAUUUUUCGCCAUUCUAAGACAAAUUAGUAGUGGCAAGAUACGACUAUGGUGACGGUCAACAGCUCUAAUUUCAAAGUUUACUGAUCAUAUGCACGUGUUGCCGGCUAGUUAAUAUACUGUCUUGUAAUAUGUUCAGGACAAUACAUACAGGGCCACACACACACACAAAUAGUACACACAUGAAAAAUUAAUUGUUUGAUGGUAGUUUAAAUUCAGAAAAUAUAGAUCAAUAUACGUCAUUUUGUCCAGUUGAUUAUUGAACAGCUCAAUUAUUUUUAGUGAACCUUAUUAAUUACUUGAAACCUUAUUGACCAGUUUGCUCACAUCGCUGCGGCCCGCAUGGGUCAUCUACAGAAAGCUGUCGAUAGCAAGAAAAUCAAUUGGGACCAAAACAAGGAUGUUUAAUUAACUGGAGGCUUUGAAUGGCUUUGUUAAAGUUCUUCUCACACUUGAUUUUUCUAUGAAUCCAUUUGAUAAGUUAUAUGUAUAUAGUCUCGCGACUCUCACUGCUCAGCUAACCCUGAUUUUUCAUUAGCUAUGGCAGCCGGAACCAUUUGCAUCUCUAGCUUGGUUACAAACUGGUCAAUGUGUGCUGGCUUGUCGAAAAUUUGGAGCAAGAGGCAGACAGGCAGUUGUGUUACAGUGCAAACAUGUGGCUUUAUAGCAUCGAUCGGACUCUGCAAGCUCAAUGUGGAUACGUCCUCAGGUCUUGAUUGCUAGCCAACUCGAUGUGUGCUCCUGUGAUUCACGAUGCCUCACAAUCCUGCGUAUGUCGCUAAACCACAUGCUUGGGAAGCGAACUAAAGUUCUCAUUGGUAUGUAGAUUUCAUGGAGAGGUUGUGGGUUCCCUUAUGCUUGUAUACAUCUUGCUUCUCUCUCUGCUACUCUUUCGACUGAAGGGGAAGAAAAUACAAGGAAAAAAUAAUUCACUACUGCACACCCUUAUAAAGCAUAGAAAAUCCAAAAAAUACCAUCGAUAAACAUUCAAAUCCAAGAAAUAUUAUGGGCGAGUGCGAGUUCCAUAUCAAGCAAGCGAUUUAUCCUUGAAAUAUCAUCACCAUUAUCUAGGGUUCCGUGUAUCCCACACCGUUAAAUAUAUUAUUCAUCAUAUAGCACUUAACAGAAUCAGUCGCUUGUACGAUGACAUUUUAUGGAACUCCAUGAAAUCGUAUUUGUAGAUAUCAUAAUUGUGCGGUUGUUAAUGGCAUUUCUUGAAUUUUCUCUAACUUUAAUGCCAUUCCAUUUGUACAUGUUGUAAUUGAAGCAUGCGGGAUCCACGGAGUUGGGAGAAAUAUAAAAUACAAGAAGUUGAAAUACAAGACCAAACCUCAUCUAAUUUUAUUUUGCUAUAUCUUUAAAAUUUGAGCCAAAUACUUUUUGAGCAAAAAUGUUCGAUUCCCUGACUUCAGUUUGCCCCAACGUGCUCUGUACCAACUGAGAAAGCAGCUAGCGUUGGUUGUAUAGCAAAUAUGUUUAACCUUUGAGUCAACCAAAAAAUUCAUAAAGAAUGUAAUGUAGUUAUUUAUUGAACCGACGGUUAAACCGGUGAACAAGCGGUUGGACCAGGGAGCCUUUGAACAGGUAGACUCACUGUUUCGAUCACCGGUCUGAAUUUAACAACUAUGUGUGUGUGUGCACUUCUGUGUGUUCAUCUCCAGAGAUCUAUUGUGUGUGUCCACUACAAUUUGUUGCUCGUGCGUGUGUGUCAUCGCUUGAGUUUGCUGCUCCGUGAGUUCUUCGCAUCCUUGGGCAAAGCUGACAUUACUCUCACAUCAUGUUCUUGUCUGAGACUCUGAAUACUACUGGGAUCUAGAAGCCAUUGCGUUUACAGGAAUUCAGUUAUUCAUAAGCCAUUUCAUUCAGUUUACAGGUAUUAGAAAGAUUUUGCAUUCCAUUCAUUGUUCAAAACAUUUCUCCCAGCUGCUUGCAAGAUGAAUUUACAACUUACUAGUUGUGUGCCCGUGCGUUGCAACAGGAAUCAAAACAAAUCAUGUUCAAAGCUAGAUAUUCACCCCGCCGAUAGCCCUUUAAUGAUUCAUCAAAGCCAAUCUGUGUAAAGCUCGCCACAUAUUGAUUAUCCGAUCAAGUAAUUUGCAGUCCAAAGUAAAUCAAGUAUUGCCUUAA
Molecule: non-coding RNA, 4057 nt
Organism: Oryza sativa Japonica Group (Japanese rice)
Lineage: Eukaryota; Viridiplantae; Streptophyta; Magnoliopsida; Poales; Poaceae
Source: RefSeq, a predicted model, not a curated record